Pelobates cultripes (western spadefoot toad) is the source of this 164-nucleotide non-coding RNA. The record is from the annotation of a GenBank genome assembly. NCBI's taxonomy places the organism in Eukaryota, Metazoa, Chordata, Amphibia, Anura, Pelobatidae.
GGGAGAAAUGGGGACACUGAGACAUUUGGGGACACUGGGAGGCAUGGGGAGACUGAGACACCAGGGACACUGGCUGGGAGACAUGGGGACACUGUGUUUCCAGUGUCUCAUUGUCCCCAUGUCUCCCAGUGUCCCCAAGUGUCUCUGUGUCCUCAAGUGUCUCU